RNAcentral lists this non-coding RNA (26 nucleotides) under Rattus norvegicus (Norway rat). Lineage: Eukaryota; Metazoa; Chordata; Mammalia; Rodentia; Muridae. The record is from RNAcentral.
UGAUAUUUCUUCUGAUAGCUUUAGUC